This 77-nucleotide ribosomal RNA is filed under the name Bacteroides uniformis. RNAcentral describes it as "16S rRNA. Bacterial SSU". It matches the Rfam family "Bacterial small subunit ribosomal RNA", at positions 1 to 75 of the family's 1533-position model. The record is from RNAcentral. Lineage: Bacteria; Pseudomonadati; Bacteroidota; Bacteroidia; Bacteroidales; Bacteroidaceae.
UUACAAUGAAGAGUUUGAUCCUGGCUCAGGAUGAACGCUAGCUACAGGCUUAACACAUGCAAGUCGAGGGGCAGCAU